Molecule: ribosomal RNA, 253 nt
Filed under: uncultured bacterium
Lineage: Bacteria
Description: partial 16S ribosomal RNA
Rfam family: Bacterial small subunit ribosomal RNA
Source: RNAcentral
GACAGAGGUCUCGAGCGUUAGGCGGAAUCACUGGGCUUAAAGCGUGUGUAGGCGGACUUGUAAGUACCUUGUGAAAUCCCACGGCUCAACCGUGGAACUGCUUGGUAUACUGCUUGUCUUGGGCCAUCUAGGGGUUACCGGAACAAACGGUGGAGCGGUGAAAUGCGUAGAUAUCAGGAGGAACACCCGUAGCGAAGGCGGCACUCUGGGCCGAUACUGACACUGAGGAGCGAAAGCGUGGGGAGCAAACAGG